RNAcentral lists this ribosomal RNA (269 nucleotides) under uncultured Weissella sp. Its description in RNAcentral is "partial 16S ribosomal RNA". It matches the Rfam family "Bacterial small subunit ribosomal RNA", at positions 77 to 339 of the family's 1533-position model. Lineage: Bacteria; Bacillati; Bacillota; Bacilli; Lactobacillales; Lactobacillaceae. The record is from RNAcentral.
UCCACCGAAAGAAAAGAGUGGCGAACGGGUGAGUAACACGUGGAUAACCUACCCUCAAGCGGGGGAUAACACUUGGAAACAGGUGCUAAUACCGCAUAACAAUAGCAACCGCAUGGUUGCUACUUAAAAGAUGGUUCUGCUAUCACUAAGAGAUGGUCCCGCGGUGCAUUAGUUUAGUUGGUGAGGUAAUGGCUCACCAAGACGAUGAUGCAUAGCCCGAGUUGAGAGACUGAUCGGCCACAAUGGGACUGAGACACGGCCCAUACUCC